GACGAACGCUGGCGGUGUGCUUAACACAUGCAAGUCGAACGGAAAGGCCCUGCUUUUGUGGGGUGCUCGAGUGGCGAACGGGUGCGUAACACGUGAGUAACCUGCCCUUGACUUUGGGAUAACUUCAGGAAACUGGGGCUAAUACCGGAUAGGAUCUCCUGCUGCAUGGUGGGCGUUGGAUAGUCUCGGCGGUUGGGGAUGGACUGGCGGCUUAUGAGCUUGUUGGUUGGGUAGUGGCUUACCAAGGCUUUGACGGGUAGCCGGCCUGAGAGGGUGACCGGCGACAAUGGGACUGAGGGACGGCCCAGACUCGUACGGGAGGCAGCAGUGGGGAAUAUUGCACAAUGGGCGGAAGCCUGAGGAAGCAACGCCGCGUGCGUGAUGACGGCCUGCGGGUUGUAAACCGCUUUCGCCUGUGACGAAGCGUGAGUGACGGUAAUGGGUAAAGAAGCACCGGCUAACUACGUG
Molecule: ribosomal RNA, 468 nt
Filed under: uncultured bacterium
Lineage: Bacteria
Description: partial 16S ribosomal RNA
Rfam family: Bacterial small subunit ribosomal RNA
Source: RNAcentral